GACGAACGCUGGCGGCGUGCUUAACACAUGCAAGUCGAACGGAAAGGCCCUGCUUUUGUGGGGUGCUCGAGUGGCGAACGGGUGAGUAACACGUGAGUAACCUGCCCUUCACUUUGGGAUAACUUCAGGAAACUGGGGCUAAUACCGUAUAGGAGCUCCUGCUGCAUGGUGGGCAGUGGAAAGUUUCGGCUGUUGGGGAUGGACUCGCGGCUUAUCAGCUUGUUGGUGGGGUAGUGGCUGACCAAGGCUUUGACGGGUCGGCGGCCUGAGAGGGUGACCGGGCACAUUGGGACUGAGGUACGGACCAGACGCGUACGGGAGGCAACGGGGGGGAGCAUUACCCAGUGGGAGGGAGCGUGAUGAGGAAACGUUGCGUGCGGAAUGCCGGCUUUUGGGUUGUGAACCGCUUUAGGCUGUGACGAAGCGGGAGUGACGGUAAUGGGUGAAGAAGCACCGGCUAACUACGUG
This 468-nucleotide ribosomal RNA is filed under the name uncultured bacterium. RNAcentral's name for it is "partial 16S ribosomal RNA". It matches the Rfam family "Bacterial small subunit ribosomal RNA", at positions 28 to 507 of the family's 1533-position model. The record is from RNAcentral.